UAGUAUGCGUUAGGGAUUGCAGCGGCAUCCUUUUGUGCAGCGUCAGCGGAACAAAAGAUACAGCGAAAAGCCCGGCCUGAA
This 81-nucleotide small RNA is filed under the name Flavobacterium saliperosum. Its description in RNAcentral is "Flavo-1 RNA". It matches the Rfam family "Flavo-1 RNA". Lineage: Bacteria; Pseudomonadati; Bacteroidota; Flavobacteriia; Flavobacteriales; Flavobacteriaceae. The record is from RNAcentral.